UAAAUUCCCUCCUUCGGGGACACCAGAACCUCGGCUUCCAGGGUUGUCACUGAGCCGGUGCUAUGCCAGGGCGGCCCAUAUGGUCGAGCGGUUGUCGCCAGAGACACAGAGCAUAAAUAAACCCUGGGAGUACAGAUGGGAGGCCGGCUAGGCUGGCUCCACUUCCUGGUCUCAUCACAGGGGAGUCCGUGUGGAAGCCCUGGGAGGCACCUCAGCCAUUUUCCAGGCCAACGACUGCAUUUGUCAGACGAGAAAAGCCAGAGGUUAAGGGACUUGCCAAAAGUCACACAGUGAGUCAACUGAAAAGCAGUAAGAGGUGGUGGCUAAGAGCACAGCAUGACUCCAUUGCCCUUGGCUUUGGCAAGUGACUGAAGUUCUCAGUUUCCUCAUACCAUGAGUGUGAGGUUAGUACCUGCCACAUUAGGUGCGUGGGACCCAAUCAAACGUAAAUGUGUGAGGCGCCCACUGCCAGGUUCAUAAUCACUGCUCCGUGGCUGCUGAUGGUUCUGAUGCUUAUCAUGACCGCUAGGAGCUGGAGAUAGAUCUUGAGAUCUCUUCUGCCCGGGUCAUGGGUAAACAUGAUGGAUAAAAUUAUGUGAACCAGAGUUUGAAUUUUGGCUUCUAGUUUUGUGACUCCCCCUUUCUGAGCUCUCGUUCUCAUCUGUAAAGCGGAGCAGCGACACCACUGUUCACAGGCUUGCUGCGAGGAUGGGAGGCAGCAGCGAGGGGACGGAGCCCUCCCAGCAGUAAACCGCAACUGUGACCCCCUAAUUCAAAGCUCCUCCCCUCGGCGGCAGCGAGGACAACGGCUUUCAGUUUGAAGAAUGUGACACUCGGCGCCAAACCCUUUCCAGGUGGCUGUUACACUAAGAUGGAGCCAGAGCAUCUCGGGAUGCUGUCCGACACUCCGAGGGCAGCAGAACUCUCGCUGGGUGGCUGAUGGCAGACCCAUUCUCUUGCCUCGAAUGCAGCAGACUGACCGCUUCCAGUCCUGUGCUGUCCCACUCCGCAUGAUCAGCAGUGGACGAUCACAAUGGGAAUGGCCGAAUGAACAGGAGAACAUGCAGCCUGCAGUCUCUGGUAUGUGCCAGGGACACAGAGAUAACGGGAAAUGACGAAUGAGGCCAAAGCCAGCUAAAGAUGGGACUCCAGUUUGGCAUGUAACUGAGAAUUCUCCUCUGCUCUUGCACAAUGACAGACAAGGUCUCGUGGCCUUGAGGUGGGUCUGGGAAGGGGGUGAAUCUGGCUGGGCAGCUGGGGGCCAGAGUCUAAUUGAGUCCCCUGCUUUACCACCGAGAUCCUGAUGUCCUUGGUCCUCAGCUCCUGAGUGAUUCUUUCUAUAUCCCAGUGAUAACCAGCAUGACGUGACAGGUAGGGGGGAGGGGACACCCAAAACUCAUUGAUGAGUUCUGGCCACAAAGAAACUUCUGCAAAUGGAAAGAACCAUUACACACUUGCACACACACACACACACACGGGCUAUUCAUUUUAGAAAAAUCAUGGUCUAUUUGAUGACGGCUUAUGUUUCUUUCUAAAUUGAGUUCAAACUGGCAUAAAAACAUGUAUUUUGCUUUGUCCUUUGGCCUCUCUUCUUCUCAUUAUCUGAUAUUCUUUUGAGGAUCAGAUGCACGUCUAUCACAGGGAACAGGAACACCGAGGACAGGCAGCAAACAGCUUGGAGUGGUUACAAGGAUGAGCUUCCAGAGUCACGGGGCACGGGGCACCCAAGGCCUCGGGCACGUGGCAGAGCACAUUUGUUCCUUAAAGUCGGUAGGAUCCAGUCUGUGUUUUGAUAACAUUGCUCUGAAGGAGGCUCCGUCCCUUCUAAGUCAUGCCCUGGAGCUUAGUCCAUCAUAUGGCUCCUCUUAUUUUAUUCACAGCACUUAUUCUUACCUUUACCUCAUUGUCGAUUUGCUUAUAAUCUCUCUCCUCUAGAAGAAAGAGAGUUUGACAAGAGCAGCCACCUUAUCUGUCUUGUUCACCCACGUUUUCCCAGCUUAGAGCAGUGCCUGCCAUAGUGCAGGCACUUGACAAAUAUCUAUUGAAUGAAUGAAUGAAUGAAUGGCCCUCAGCCUUGCCUUCUUACUUAACACAAGCCUGGGGCAACCACGAUGCAGCCGAGGUGUACCAUCAGGAGAUCCAGUCUGCUGCCCCAGGAAAACCCCUAAAAUGGACUUUCCAUACCCACACCACAACAUGGAUGUCAUCUCCCCCAAACAGGAUAGCUUCGAGCGUGCAUUCAGUUCACGCAGGUGAAAAGUUCCCACGUGUUUUCUGGCACGUGGCAGGAGUUUGCCCAGGCAUUGCUGAAUCCAACACAGCUUUUAUCAUUUCCCCCAUUUCAGAGAAGAAAAGACUGAGGCUCAGAGGUGGACAGAAGUGGUAAAGCCAUGACUCAUGCCCCUAUCUUCUGAUUCUCCGAUCACAGCUCUUUCUGCCUCUUUAUGCCAUUUUUCUAGAACAAUCUCCCACACACACACUCAGUGCAUGUUAGUGGUUUAAGCUUACAUUUUUUAAUUUAAAAAAAUUUAAUUUAACAUUUUCCCCAAACAAACGCUUCAUUUUUCUUCUCAGCCAAGGCGUAUUCCCAAGUAAAGGCUUCAGAUAGACAGAUGGAAAGAGGGACAAGGGUCAUUUUCUACAGAGGGCAAUCUUUCUGGCAGGUCUUAGGGGGCAAACCCUGAACCCAGGCAUGCGGUGGACCCGGGGGACUCCCCCAGUCCUCCUCUCCCUCCUUUCCCCUGGAAGGGCAGCUGGGUCCUCUGGGCAAGCUGCAGAGCAAGGACCCUCCUCCCUCUUAGCUUCCCUCUCAAGCCUCAGUGGGAUGGGGACAAACGAUUUCUCUUGCAGGCGAAGAUCGGGCAGAGGUUUCUGGGCUGUGCCAAGCCACGGUUUUGUUUUACCUCGUGAUGAGGAACAGCUGUGUCCCAAAGGGGCGGCACCUCGCCGCCUCCGCAGUGUUUUGAUAAGAGGCGCGGGGUUGGCGAGUGUGGACGAGAUGAGGAAUCGCGUUUCUCGCAACAGUCCUCGCGCUCCAGGUCACGAGCUAAUCUCCUUUGGGAAACCGAGACCAGAGAUGGGCCUCCCUCUCUCCCUGCUAUCUCAGGGUAUUUUCUGUCACCAUGGAGAAUGGUAGAGGCUGGAAAAGGUCAAAAGGACACGGCCUACGAGCUGAGGCGGCAGAGCAGUGAAGCCUGUUGGAAAGUGCCAGCAUCCAAGAGGAGGAUGGUGAGAACCGUAGAGCCGGGUGCCGGGUCAGUCGGAUGGACACGGGUUCCAAGGCCACCUCUGUGCCGCCAGCUGUGGAUGUCCGAGUCUCAGUUUCCAUAUCCGUACCUAAAGGGCUGGUAGGAGUGAACGAGUUGGGCUGUGCAGGGCCCUUUGGUGUUUCAGGCGAUGUGAGUUGAAGAAGGAAUGAGCGCUUGGUCUUCAGAAGGGGCAGAGACGAGCCGCCAGGUCGGGUCAGAGUCACGGUUAACAAGCUCUCGGCUCCUCACUCCGUCGCUGUUUGGUUUUCACUGCGUCGCGAUUUUGCAGCUUUCCCACUCGGACCACCAACUUUCCUGAGCGUUUAGCCUUCUCUGCCGGCUGCCGUCCCCUCCCUCUCAGAGUCCCCCACCCCCAUCCGCAUCUACUUGAUGAUGACAGGAAUCGCCAGGGGCACCAGGCAGCUCAGAAGUAUACUCCAGGACAUGGCUGUCACACUUUUCUUUUUUCCUAAGACCCACAGUAAGAAAUAUAUUAAUAAAUUUUGCAUUGCAAAUCAACCCACACAUACAUAUAAAUGACUGAUUAAAGAAAUUUCAUGAAACACUCCCCGUCCUUCUUAUCUGCACUCUAUUAUUUUCUUUUCCAUUCCACUUCAUUCCAUUCUAUUCUACUUUAUUUUGCCUUUGAAAGUGCUGGUUACCACCCAGUAAUCUAGUUCAUUAACCAGCUGCCAGUUUGAGAAACACUGGUUUCCGGUGGGACUGCCAUGCCGUUCUCUCUGUCCAGUUGUGGACUGUAUCAGUGGCCCUAGAAACCUGUGUUCCAAUUCACAGCCUAAGAAUCAUCAGGGGCCUUGAUAAAUGUACAAAUUUCCAGGCUCCAUCCCCAGAGAUUUGACAGCGUUUCAGAGACUGGUCAGAACCAGAGUGUCUCGUGGGGUCUCCCUGGCACUGAGAUGGAGAUUCUGAUUCCAGGGAGAAAGCUUCUGAUUGGUCUAGAUGGGUCAGAGAAGGAAGAUGCCUUGAUGGGCAGUCCCACCAACACUGUAUCCCUUGGGGUGGGUAGCUCCCCAAAGUAAGUAGAAGAAAGGGUGAUGGAUGCUGCCAGGGACUGUUUGUGUCGCCCCAAAAUUCAUAUGUUGAAAUUCUGACCCCGAAUGUGAUGGUAUCUGGAGGUGGGGCC
This is a non-coding RNA of Equus caballus (horse), 4392 nucleotides long. NCBI's taxonomy places the organism in Eukaryota, Metazoa, Chordata, Mammalia, Perissodactyla, Equidae. The record is from RefSeq and is a predicted model, not a curated record.